UUGGUUGCAAUGAUUAGAUGAAAUAACUAUGUUUCUGAAUGCUAAUUUUAGCAUGGAAGACUCCAUUAAUAGCUGGAUAGUAUAUGAGCACC
Spinacia oleracea (spinach) is the source of this 92-nucleotide non-coding RNA. Lineage: Eukaryota; Viridiplantae; Streptophyta; Magnoliopsida; Caryophyllales; Amaranthaceae. The record is from Rfam.